AGAGUUCAAGAGUACGUGAAACCGUUCAGGGGUAAACCUGAGAAACCCAAAAGAUCGAAUGGGGAGAUUCAUCGUCAGCGGUGGGGGCUUGCGUGUGGCUCGCGAUGCGUCGGCGCCUCGGCGCCGGCGCACGCGGUCGCUGCGUCAUGAUUCCCAUCGUCGGCGCGCACUUCUCCCCUAGUAGGACGUCGCGACCCGUUGGGUGCCGGCCUACGGCCCGUUUGGUCGACUGUCGCGUCGCGUUCACGCGCGCUCACGCGGCAGACCUUCGGUCGCCCGGUCGGCUGCUCGGCGGUAUCGAACGCUUUUUUGAUGGUAUAGAGCCGCACCUAGGUGCGUCUUGGCCCGUCGGCAGGCUCGUCUCGCUCGGAUUUACGGACCUAGUGCCGUUGCUGGGCGCUUGGCGCGGUCGUUAGUCGACGGUGUCCUCGGACCGGCUCGUUGUCGCCUCGCGCGGCGUAUUACCCGUCGGCGACGCUUUUGCUUUGGGUACUUUCAGGA
RNAcentral lists this ribosomal RNA (501 nucleotides) under Metaphycus sp. MVO1. RNAcentral describes it as "partial 28S ribosomal RNA". The record is from RNAcentral. RNAcentral also lists the same sequence under 3 other names. Lineage: Eukaryota; Metazoa; Arthropoda; Insecta; Hymenoptera; Encyrtidae.